ACUACCAAAAUACAAAUAUAAGCUACAGCAGUCUUCCUCUUAAAUCAUUCACAAGGCAAAAGGCAUUAAAAAGGAGAUUCAGACAUGAGAGGUCCUGCAACCUUGAGGUAAAACAUUCGUGACACAGUUGGCGGGCAAUCCACCCAGAGCAUCGAAGCAGGUGGUGUUUUUGAAGAUAGGUUAACAAACUCCAGGGCCUGUGCUCUAACUUCAGCUGUGUAGUCAGCAAUACUUCCAAUUUCCUUUUGUUGGUUUCGUUUUGCUCAACGUCUUCCUUCUCUUCAUGGGGAGUUUGCGAUGUAGGAGGAUCCAAGUUCUUUUGACUCACCACUCCCACUCAGCUUACUCGCCCGCGCCGGAAUAUUCAAAAGCUUGGUUUACCUGCAAAGACGAAAGAGAUGUCAAGAACAUGACAUCAGAAAAAACUAUUAAAUUCG
This 437-nucleotide long non-coding RNA is filed under the name Populus trichocarpa (black cottonwood). RNAcentral describes it as "long non-coding RNA (PTRI_LNC001657)". Lineage: Eukaryota; Viridiplantae; Streptophyta; Magnoliopsida; Malpighiales; Salicaceae. The record is from RNAcentral.